AAAAAAAAAUUCAUCCAUGAAAGAAGGAAAGAGGAGGGAGAGAAGACAGCGGUCUGUUCUCCCCUCUUCUUCCGAAUUUUUCUUUUCUUUCUUUCUUUCUUUCUUUCUUUC
This 111-nucleotide non-coding RNA is filed under the name Chromera velia. The record is from RNAcentral. Lineage: Eukaryota; Chromeraceae.